This 425-nucleotide ribosomal RNA is filed under the name uncultured bacterium. RNAcentral's name for it is "bacterial SSU rRNA". It matches the Rfam family "Bacterial small subunit ribosomal RNA", at positions 354 to 796 of the family's 1533-position model. The record is from RNAcentral.
GUGGGGAAUAUUGCACAAUGGGGGAAACCCUGAUGCAGCGACGCCGCGUGAGUGAAGAAGUAUUUCGGUAUGUAAAGCUCUAUCAGCAGGGAAGAAAAUGACGGUACCUGACUAAGAAGCCCCGGCUAACUACGUGCCAGCAGCCGCGGUAAUACGUAGGGGGCAAGCGUUAUCCGGAUUUACUGGGUGUAAAGGGAGCGUAGACGGCGCGGCAAGUCUGAAGUGAAAGGCAGGGGCUUAACCCCUGAACUGCUUUGGAAACUGCCAUGCUAGAGUGCUGGAGAGGUAAGUGGAAUUCCUAGUGUAGCGGUGAAAUGCGUAGAUAUUAGGAGGAACACCAGUGGCGAAGGCGGCUUACUGGACAGUAACUGACGUUGAGGCUCGAAAGCGUGGGGAGCAAACAGGAUUAGAAACCCUUGUAGUCC